This is a long non-coding RNA of Condylura cristata (star-nosed mole), 522 nucleotides long. RefSeq lists it as uncharacterized. The transcript is spliced from 3 exons. The record is from RefSeq and is a predicted model, not a curated record. NCBI's taxonomy places the organism in Eukaryota, Metazoa, Chordata, Mammalia, Eulipotyphla, Talpidae.
ACAAACUCCUGCGUCCAGACAAACUCCUGCGUCAUCGGGGAAGGAGACAAUGCGAAGAUGUUUUCCUCGGUGUCUUUCUGCCAUUGAGGCAGACAAAGCAUUUUCCCUUCCUGCUUCAGAGGACCACAGCAAAACAGCGAUGACCGAAAGAUUGAGCUCUUAAAUGUAAAAUCUUACCUUUGAAGACCUACGUGGAGGCUGGAUGAAAGAAAAGCAUAGGACAGGUUUAUUAUAAAAAGGGAGAGGAGACUAAAGGACACCUGCACAGACACAAGUGGACAGAAAGCUGCCCUGAAAAGGACAGGUUUGCUGAAAGAGAAGCCAGCAGCCUGUGGGGGCACUGCCUCUGCUGCUUUGCAAAGGGAAAAGUGUUUCCAGGUUGCUGGCAAGUCUUAGUUGGAUAAACAUAAGGCAAAGAGAAAGCCCAGGGAUUCACCAUCCUGUGUUUCCUUGGAUCCUGAAGUCCUUGCCAACCUGCCUUCUUCUCCCACCUUUCAGACUUGUAUUCAUUUUAUAAUAAUG